GGCUCAGUAACACGUCGGUAACCUACCCUCGGGAGGGGGAUAACCCCGGGAAACUGGGGCUAAUCCCCCAUAGGCCUGAGGUACUGGAAGGUCCUCAGGCCGAAAGGGGCUUUCGCCCGCCCGAGGAUGGGCCGGCGGCCGAUUAGGUAGUUGGUGGGGUAACGGCCCACCAAGCCGAAGAUCGGUACGGGCCAUGAGAGUGGGAGCCCGGAGAUGGACACUGAGACACGGGUCCAGGCCCUACGGGGCGCAGCAGGCGCGAAACCUCCGCAAUGCGGGAAACCGCGACGGGGGGACCCCCAGUGCCGUGGCAUCGCCACGGCUUUUCCGGAGUGUAAAGAGCUCCGGGAAUAAGGGCUGGGCAAGGCCGGUGGCAGCCGCCGCGGUAAUACCGGCGGCCCGAGUGGUGGCCGCUAUUAUUGGGCCUAAAGCGUCCGUAGCCGGGCCCGUAAGUCCCUGGCGAAAUCCCACGGCUCAACCGUGGGGCUUGCUGGGGAUACUGCGGGCCUUGGGACCGGGAGAGGCCGGGGGUACUCCUGGGGUAGGGGUGAAAUCCUAUAAUCCCAGGAGGACCGCCAGUGGCGAAGGCGCCCGGCUGGAACGGGUC
This 607-nucleotide ribosomal RNA is filed under the name Thermococcus sp. CL2. Its description in RNAcentral is "bacterial SSU rRNA". It matches the Rfam family "Archaeal small subunit ribosomal RNA", at positions 87 to 691 of the family's 1478-position model. The record is from RNAcentral. Lineage: Archaea; Methanobacteriati; Methanobacteriota; Thermococci; Thermococcales; Thermococcaceae.